CUCGGGAGGCAGCAGUGGGGAAUCUUAGACAAUGGGGGCAACCCUGAUCUAGCCAUGCCGCGUGAGUGAUGAAGGCCUUAGGGUCGUAAAGCUCUUUCGCCUGUGAUGAUAAUGACAGUAGCAGGUAAAGAAACCCCGGCUAACUCCGUGCCAGCAGCCGCGGUAAUACGGAGGGGGUUAGCGUUGUUCGGAAUUACUGGGCGUAAAGCGCGCGUAGGCGGAUUAGAAAGUUGGGGGUGAAAUCCCGGGGCUCAACCCCGGAACUGCCUCCAAAACUGCUAGUCUAGUGUUCGAGAGAGGUGAGUGGAAUUCCGAGUGUAGAGGUGAAAUUCGUAGGUAUUCGGAGGAACACCAGUGGCGAAGGCGGCUCACUGGCUCGAUACUGACGCUGAGGUGCGAAAGUGUGGGGAGCAAACAGGAUUAGAUACCCUGGUAGUCCACACCGUAAACGAUGAAUGCCAGUCGUCGGGUAGUAUACUAUUCGGUGACACACCUAACGGAUUAAGCAUUCCGCCUGGGGAGUACGGUCGCAAGAUUAAAACUCAAAUGAAUUGACGG
RNAcentral lists this ribosomal RNA (558 nucleotides) under uncultured bacterium. RNAcentral describes it as "bacterial SSU rRNA". It matches the Rfam family "Bacterial small subunit ribosomal RNA", at positions 340 to 916 of the family's 1533-position model. The record is from RNAcentral.